This 336-nucleotide ribosomal RNA is filed under the name uncultured bacterium. Its description in RNAcentral is "bacterial SSU rRNA". It matches the Rfam family "Bacterial small subunit ribosomal RNA", at positions 108 to 474 of the family's 1533-position model. The record is from RNAcentral.
GAGUAACACGUGAGAAUUUGCCUUUAGGAGGGGGAUAACAGAGUGAAAACGCUGCUAAUACCCCAUAUGCUUUCGAGUGAAAUGGAUUUAUUCGCCUAAAGAGAAGCUCGCGGCUGAUUAGCUUGUUGGUAAGGUAAUGGCUUACCAAGGCGACGAUCAGUAUCUGGUUUGAGAGGACGAUCAGACACACUGGAACUGAGACACGGUCCAGACUCCUACGGGAGGCAGCAGUGGGGAAUUUUCCGCAAUGGGCGAAAGCCUGACGGAGCAAUACCGCGUGAGGGAAGACGGCCUAUGGGUUGUAAACCUCUUUUCUCAGGGAGGAACUCAAUGACG